This 29-nucleotide non-coding RNA is filed under the name Mus musculus (house mouse). The record is from RNAcentral. Lineage: Eukaryota; Metazoa; Chordata; Mammalia; Rodentia; Muridae.
UUUAAAGAAAAAAGGUCCUGGUUCAGAAA